ACAUUUGGUACCAUUGCACUCUGCGCAUACACAAAACAAAUCCACUCCACUGUAAGCCAUCUGGAUGAAUGAAGAGCUGUUCAGAUGAAAAGCUGACAUGAGUUUUGGCUGGACUGAGGAGCUACGCAAAGUCUUAUAUUCAAUUUGGUGAAAGCAGGAACAUACCAUUCAACGAGGCGAAGCGAAAUAUUCGUUGAACUCAAACAUUCAUCAUUUGUAUAUUUAGCUCUGUGCAGACACAUAAACACAUGGUUGCUGUGACGUCUGGAAAAUGAUGCAGAUAGAAAAAGUCAACAGUAAACAUUUCAUACACAGAACCGCAAACACCAACAUCGGACGUAAACGGCUAACCUCUGUCCAGCGGCUCCAAAAAUCUGGUCCUGCUAAAAAGGUAAAAAAAUAAAGAAAAAGUUCCUCUCCAUCAUAUCUCACGCUCUCACUUUAAUACUGCAAUUCUGCGUAAACGUCUCAGCUCAAGAUUCAAACUGAGCUCCCUCAGUAUUCAUUUGAUAGGUAAACACGCUAAAAUGGAAAUGAGCGCCGUUAUUACUGCUGUGAUAGCUCCACUCUCGGUGUAAGACUUUGCCCGUUCUGGCUACAUGAGGCAUUUCUGUAGGCUAAAAUAUACAGUACAACUGGUUGUCACACAGUAAAAUGCAAAAGUAAAGAACACAGUUAUUACAGCGACAAAGGAUUUUCCGGGAAUUACUGGACUUACGGAUGUAACGUGCUGCAGGCCGUAUUAAAGCUAGCAUAUGUAGUCGUGCUAACUGUGGAUGGCGGCAAUCACAUUAGACCCGCCCCCCAGUCGACACAGGCCGGUGCCGCACACCAAACGGUCCCCCACUAAAGAUCGGUCUGCCUGCCUUCGCUGCACUGGACCCAACAAACCGAUGACACGCGUGCCCUGUGAUUGUGACCAAGAGAGGGCACUAAUCAUACAAGAUGUUUUUGUUUUAAAUCAUAUAUCUGUGACGAAACGAAAUUGUGCCGUUUCCUCAAACAUCGCCCUGCUCCGGUGAUGAUGUCACAGGAGUUCUCAGCCUGACAGCGCCUGAUGUUAAGGCAACAUCUCCCUCACAGCUGUCGCAAAUCAAUAAAAAUGCUGCCACCCAGAGUUUCUUUAAGGGUGGAGACAAAAACGAAAGGCUUCAUGACUGAGACUCCGUUAACGUAACUGAUAACCACAUGUGCUAAAUGUACUUAACAGUCAACAUUUUCUAUAACAUAGCCCGUCAGUAGUCAAAUAUACCUCAUGUUUCAGUAACUAUGUCUGGCGUCUGUCAGUUUUUGCUACCUUGCUGGAAAGGGCUGCCAUUAUGACACGAAUCACAUGACUGUAUACUGUAUAAUGUAAACAAAAAUUAAAUGAAAGUCAUAAAAUGUAUGUAAAAGGCAUGUUCCACACCAGAUGAACUGCAGGUGUGUGGUGGCUGUGUUAACAUGUUUACCGCUUGCACACUGCCUGCAAGACUGAUCUAUUGAU
Long non-coding RNA from Thalassophryne amazonica, 1486 nucleotides. RefSeq lists it as uncharacterized. Lineage: Eukaryota; Metazoa; Chordata; Actinopteri; Batrachoidiformes; Batrachoididae. The transcript has 3 exons. The record is from RefSeq and is a predicted model, not a curated record.